Molecule: long non-coding RNA, 996 nt
Filed under: Cavia porcellus (domestic guinea pig)
Lineage: Eukaryota; Metazoa; Chordata; Mammalia; Rodentia; Caviidae
Description: lncRNA (ENSCPOG00000034178.1)
Source: RNAcentral
GUAACUAUUAACCACCUAAUGAAUAGGUCACAGAAAGGAAAACCCUUCCUCUUUGUAAAGCUUCACUUUAAAAUUAGCUGGAUCUGUUACAUUAGGUGCGGAAAAGAAAGACAAGAGGCUGUUCGUUCAGCGGAUGUUUUACCUUCUGAGAGCUCUGGGCUCCAGUAAUUCAUGUUUCAGACCUGGAAGAAGGAAAAAUAUGCAACUGCAACAGCCUCUGCUUGGAGUCACACAGCCAAAUCUGAGUUUCGUCUAUGCAGUGGAUCGCAUGUCACCUGGGGAAGUGGCCUGGCCUGGCCGUUGGCUUGUAAUUCUCCAAUCACAGCUCCUACUCCUCUAACGUAUACCCCCUGGAGGGACUGAGUCACCCCACCCUGAGGCUGGAAAUGAGAGGAUUUGCUCCUCCUGGCUUCCUCUAAAGGUCACUGUCGCUGCUGCUGCCCUGUCCCUUGGUGCUGUCACUGUGCUGAGUCCCUCCAGAUCACCCCUCCCGCUGCACGCAGGGCGGGCUGACAGCACUAAGGUUCACAGGAAGACGAUCGCUCUGCACAAAGGCCUGAAGUGCUCGUGUGAAAGGUCACUAAGUACUGUCAUCUGGUCCAGAGAGGCCGUUAGAGAAGGGCAAGCCCACUGAGAACAACAGAGUGAAGGGCAGGAUCUUAACCUCUGCCUGUGGCCCGGAGUGUCCAGAGGGACAAAGAAUUUCAUGGAGGAGCUGGUGGGGACUUGGGAGUAAGGAUGACCAGCCAGAGGAUGAGAGUUGCCUGCACUGCAUCACUAGUGGCCUGAGAGUCUCCAUCUUUCCAUGAGGGGGCUCAGGCCCUCAUUCAUUCCCCAGGUUAGGUAGGAAGCUGGGUGGCAUGACAGCAGAGGACCAGCUUAGGGGCUACUCAGGUUCUCAGGUAUGGACCCCUCCCCAGCCUCUUAUGAAAGGAUGGGAAUUCAGGGGGCUCGCUAUAGAACUCCACAUCAAAGUUUCCUGAGGUCUUGAACUAC